GCUGUUUUGUUUUCACAAUGCCAAGAUGUCCUGUGUGAGCUAGGUUGAUUGUUUUUUUCUUGGAGAGAGAUUGGAAGAACGAGCAGUGUUCCUCUCAGAAUGACCUUUGCUUGUGUAUUGAUUGUUAGUUCAUGUUUCAUGCAAGAGUGCUUUUAAUGUUUGGAAAUCAGCAUCUUGUGUGUCAUGUGGUGAAUCUUUCCAGGUUCCUGUGGACAAUAGGCGCAUCACCUCUGUAGAGCUGAGCCUUUUCUUUGUUUCUUCUCGCACCUCUUCUAAAGUCAUCACUUUGGGAACUGUGUUGUCAAUGAUAACUUUCACAUAUUUCUGCCAUGUGAGAGGUUCUUUGUGGGGUUUCCUUUGCGAUGGGAUGCCUUGACAUGGUCUGUGAUGACCGUGAAGUGAGCUCCGUAGAGAAACAAGUGAAAGUUUUCGCAUGAACAGAUGAUCGCCAAAGCUUCUCUUUCGGUUUGUGAGUAGCGCUGGUCAACCUCUGAGAGCGCUCGGCUGGCAUAUGCAAUGAUAUGGGCGUCUUUGUCACUUGUAGGGUUGUGCUGACUUAGUAUGGCACCUAAACCAAUUGGGCUGUCGUCAACUAACAGUGUCGACCUCUUGGCUGGGUCAAAGUAGGCUGUCGUCGUGUGCUUCAUCAGACGUGUUCUUAAUUUUUUUCAUCGCAGACUGAUGCUGUGGUCCCCCCCAGGUGUGAUCUUUUCUUGGGAGCUCGCGAAGAGGCUGUGCGGUUGUUGCAAAGUCUGGUAUGAACCGUGAGCACUAUUGUGUCAUGCCCAGGGGACUGCGAACCUCCGAGGCGCUGGCAGAUUCUGUAUGGCUUAGAUUUUCUUUGGAUCUGAGGGAAAUGCCUUGCUCUGAGAAAACAUAGCCAUAAAAACUCAAGUGUUGUUUUGCUGUAUUUACAUUUUCCUUUGUUCAGCGUGAGAUUUUUCUCUCUCAAUCUCUGAAACACAGCUUUAAGACUUGCGUUGUGUUCAUCUUGAGAUCUAGGAUGUCAUCACUCAUGUUUCUCACGUUGGGAAUGCUUUGUAGCACUUGCUGUAUUGCAUUUUGAAACACAUCGGCAGCUGAAUUUAUGCCAAAGUUCAGUCUGGUGUAUCUCUAGAGGCCAGUAUGUGUAGUGAAGGUUUGUGAUGUUCCUUGAGACUGGAUGUAACUUGGAUUUUUAGUGUGUCAAGCUGCUGUUGAACCUUUUCUCCCAUGUGAAAAGGAAUCCUCCUGUGUGGUUGUACUGCUGGUUGCACUGUGUCAUCAAUGUGCAGCUUCACUUGAAAGUCUGAGUUUUCCUAUAUCUUAGAAGAGGUCCUGGUAUUCAUUGGUAAGCUGGCUUAUGAAUGAACCAUCAGCUGGUUCACUUGGAGUGGAUAGAGAGUUGAUUAUUUUUAGAAGUCCAAGGUCUGUAGUAGUGAGCCAGAGUCACCUUUGGAUUACAUAGAAAGUGGUAUCUACCAUCUUAGUCUUAGAGCGGACUGGUGCUGUGAAUUGUCCUCUCAGUGGAAGUGGUUCGGAUGGGCCAUAAGCAAAGAUGUUUGCCUUGGCCUGUUUUAAUUCACAGCUGGGCAUUAACUUGUCAUAUGUGACAUCAUCAACAAUGUCAACACUUGCUCCCGAAUCAAUAAUAACAUCCACAGUUGUAUUCAUAAUGGUAACUUGGAUGUGUGGUUGCGACGGUUUCUUUCUUAUACACAUAAGCAUUAUCAUGAGCUUGGCGAGAUGUCUUGUGUUUUUGUCUUAUUGUCAUCAUGUGACUGCACUUUAUGCACUUUGUGUUUCGGACGCCGUUGGGUUAGUUUUUCAGCAACUGGAGGAGUGGACUCUGUGGUUUGUGACCUACAGCAUUUUAGAAAGUGAUUCAACUUCCACAUCCUUUACAUUUUGUUUCACCUUGCAGGGCAGUUUGUUUGUCCUCUGUCGUGUGGGAAUUUUCCUCUGCGGUUAUUGCAUGUUCUGUUUUGACGUUUGUCACUUUCAUUUAUGUAGCCCUGGCUUUUGUUAUAUUUUUUUAUUUUGUACAGCGCACACUGAAAGUAAUUUUUGUGAUUUUGAUUGAACAUUCUCCAUGCCUGCAGCUUGUUUAUCCGACAUCUUGUGCACUGCCUGUAUCAAGUAGUUGUUGGAGAGCCAUUGAACCACCCUUUAGCGCCACCCAGCGGAGGAACGCGGAACUGCAGCUUAUUAUUAUCUGUGGCUUUAUUUCUUUAUCAACGUUUGCAAACUCGCAUGUGGAUGCUAGAUCUCAAUCUUGUGUGGAUAAUACAGUGCUACCGACGCUGCCCGCUACCAAAGACUGUGGGCUCUCCUUCUCCGUGGCUGAUGUGAGUAAGACAUUUAAACGUGUUAACCCUCGAAAGGCUGCUGGCCCAGACAGCAUCCCUAGCCGCAUCCCCAGAGCAUGCACAGACCAGCUGGCUGGUGUGUUUACGGACAUAUUCAAUCUCUCCCUAUCCCAGUUUGUUGUCCCCACAUGCUUCAAGAUGGCCACCUUUGUUCCUGUACCCAAGAAUGCGAAGGUAACUGAACUGAAUUACUAUCGCCCAGGAGCACUCACUUCUGCCAUCAUGUGCUUUGAUAGUGUGCUUUGAGAGACUAGUCAAGCAUCAUAUCACCUCCACCUUACCUGUCACCCUAGACCCUGCCCCAAUAGGUCCACAGACGAUGCAAUCGCCAUCACACUGCACCCUAUCACCCCAUCCCAUCUGGACAAAAUGAAUACCUAUGUAAGAAAGCUGUUCAUUGACUACAGCUCAGCAUUCAACACCAUAGUACCCUCCAAGGUCAUCAUUAAGCUUGAGGCCCUGGGUCUCAACCCCGCCCUUUGCAAUUGGGUCCUGGACUUCCUGAAACAACAUCUCCACUUCGCUGAUCCUCAACACUGAGGCCCCACAAGGGUGCGUGCUCAGCCCCCUCCUAUACUCCCUGUACAACCAUGACUGUGUGGCCAUGCACACCUCCAACUGAAUCAUCAAGUUUGCAGACGACACAACAGUACUAGGCUUGAUUACCAACAACGACGAGACAGCCUACAGGGAGGAGGUGAGGGCUCUCGGAGUGUGGUGUCAGGAAAAUAACCUCUCACUCAACGUCAACAAAACAAAACAAAGGAGAUGAUCGUGGAAACAGGAGAGGGAGCACCCCCCGAUCCACUUUGAUGGGACAGCAGUGGAGAAGGUGGAAAGUGUUAAGUUCCUCUGUGUACACAUCACG
This 3216-nucleotide long non-coding RNA is filed under the name Salmo salar (Atlantic salmon). RNAcentral describes it as "lncRNA (ENSSSAG00000117087.1)". Lineage: Eukaryota; Metazoa; Chordata; Actinopteri; Salmoniformes; Salmonidae. The record is from RNAcentral.